AUGAGCUGUGUACAACCAAGUUUCUACCUUUCUCUCACAGAACAACUUCCUCCACAGCAACCAGGUUGUUUCAGAAGUGGACAUUCACCCGAGACUGCUUUGCUCUCAGUUGUUGAAGCCCUAAGACUGGCAAGAGCAGAUUUCAAAUCUUCAAUACUUAUCUUGCUGGAUCUGUCCGCUGCUUUUGACAUGGUUAACCACCAGAUCCUCCGGUCAACCCUAUUGGCAAAGGGCAUCUCAGGAACCGCACUCCAGUGGUUUGAGUCUGAUCAGAUAGGUCCUUCAGUGUGUCUUGGAGAGCUGCUCAAAUCUCAGCUUCUCUAACAGACAUUUCUUGCUGAAUGAAAGACCAUCACCUUCAACUCAACCUUGCCAAGACAGAUCUGCUUGUGGUUCCACCAAACCCAUCAUUUCAUCACAAGUUCACUAUCCAUUUAGGCACAUCAACCAUAACUCCUUCAAAAACAGCCAGAAACCUUAGAGUUAUGAUUGAUGAUCAGCUGACUUUCUCAGACCACAGACUUGCCCCUUGUAGACUUGCACUCUAUUCAUUUACUAACUGCUUGUUUUCUUAAAGAAAAAAUAAAUUAACACUUCUCUUAUCUUUUUGUAUUCUAUCUGUUUCCUUUUUAUUUAUUAUACAAUUUUAAAAGGAAAAAAGGCCUCUAACAUGAGCUUGUUCUAUUUGUUUCCUAUUCUAUCUGUUUUCUUUUUAUUUAUUAUAUAAUUAAAAAAAAACCUUGCUACGUGUACUGUGUUAAGCUAACUAAGACUUGUUAUAGCACCUGCAUAUCAUUGCUCAUUUGUUAAUUUUGAUUGCUGGAUAAAAGCCUCUGCUAAAUGACUAAAUGUACAUAUACAGUAUAUAUGCCCAAAGAAUAAAUGUGUAACACAAAUCAGGUUUAUUAUUAUAUAAGUUAUCAUAAACCUACUUUAAUUGACAUGUGUGCUCUGGAAAGCUGUUCAGGUGAGGACAGCUGGUUUAGUGAGGCACUAUUUCCUUAGCUCUUCUAUUUAUUUUCAAUUCAGGAUUUCUAAGCUGCCAUCUGCUGUUGGGUGUGCUCACGUUGAUUAUUUACCCAGAGAAAAUAUAGCAGUGAAAAAUUAAUGUGUGUAUGUACUGAGCUCUGUCCAUCUGACCUCGUGGUCAUUGGCAGAAUGAGAAAACAGGGUCGUGGUGCUGGGAGAUGAGGUCAGCAUUUGAGGCAAUGUGAAAAGGGUCCUGAUUUCGACUUGUGACAUCACCUCUCCACCUCUAUUAGCCCUCUUAACAGAACAGAUAUGAGUCAGGAGAUCCAGGAGAUGGUCUAAUGCAUCUAUUUUGUGCCUGGGUUGGAAAGAAAAGAAAGAAAAAAGAAAAAAGAAAAAAAAAAAAACCCUAACAAAUAUAUGGUUUGUCCAGCAGAUGGCAGUACAACAUGUGUAUUUUGUGUACAACUAUACAGUAUAUUGUAAACUGCAAGUUUGCUAGUUCACUGGAGGCCAGUGACCUUAAUAUGUGUGUCACAAACUCCAACUGCAC
Cyprinus carpio carpio is the source of this 1522-nucleotide long non-coding RNA. The record is from Ensembl. NCBI's taxonomy places the organism in Eukaryota, Metazoa, Chordata, Actinopteri, Cypriniformes, Cyprinidae.